This 299-nucleotide ribosomal RNA is filed under the name Pediococcus pentosaceus. RNAcentral describes it as "partial 16S ribosomal RNA". It matches the Rfam family "Bacterial small subunit ribosomal RNA", at positions 134 to 427 of the family's 1533-position model. Lineage: Bacteria; Bacillati; Bacillota; Bacilli; Lactobacillales; Lactobacillaceae. The record is from RNAcentral.
AAGUAGGGGAUAACACCUGGAAACAGAUGCUAAUACCGUAUAACAGAGAAAACCGCAUGGUUUUCUUUUAAAAGAUGGCUCUGCUAUCACUUCUGGAUGGACCCGCGGCGUAUUAGCUAGUUGGUGAGGUAAAGGCUCACCAAGGCAGUGAUACGUAGCCGACCUGAGAGGGUAAUCGGCCACAUUGGGACUGAGACACGGCCCAGACUCCUACGGGAGGCAGCAGUAGGGAAUCUUCCACAAUGGACGCAAGUCUGAUGGAGCAACGCCGCGUGAGUGAAGAAGGGUUUCGGCUCGUA